This 251-nucleotide ribosomal RNA is filed under the name uncultured bacterium. Its description in RNAcentral is "partial 16S ribosomal RNA". It matches the Rfam family "Bacterial small subunit ribosomal RNA", at positions 525 to 775 of the family's 1533-position model. The record is from RNAcentral.
ACGUAGGGGGCAAGCGUUAUCCGGAUUUACUGGGUGUAAAGGGAGCGUAGACGGUUUUGCAAGUCUGAAGUGAAAGCCCGGGGCUUAACCCCGGGACUGCUUUGGAAACUGUAGGACUAGAGUGCAGGAGAGGUAAGUGGAAUUCCUAGUGUAGCGGUGAAAUGCGUAGAUAUUAGGAGGAACACCAGUGGCGAAGGCGGCUUACUGGACUGUAACUGACGUUGAGGCUCGAAAGCGUGGGGAGCAAACAG